UACGAAGGGGGCUAGCGUUGCUCGGAAUUACUGGGCGUAAAGGGCGCGUAGGCGGAUAUUUAAGUUGGGGGUGAAAUCCCGGGGCUCAACCUCGGAAUUGCCUUCAGAACUGGAUAUCUUGAGUUCGGGAGAGGUGAGUGGAACUCCGAGUGUAGAGGUGAAAUUCGUAGAUAUUCGGAAGAACACCAGUGGCGAAGGCGACUCACUGGCCCGAUACUGACGCUGAGGCGCGAAAGCGUGGGGAGCAAACAGG
Molecule: ribosomal RNA, 253 nt
Filed under: uncultured bacterium
Lineage: Bacteria
Description: partial 16S ribosomal RNA
Rfam family: Bacterial small subunit ribosomal RNA
Source: RNAcentral